AACAUUGUCUAUCAGCUGUCAAUCAACAACCCUUCCAGCAUUGGUUCCGUCCCAGAAAAAACAGACUCUGCUUCCCAAUUAUCACAGGCGCUGGCCCAGGGGAGGUGAGAAGACGAGAAGGAGAAGCACUGUGUUCUUUUAGAAGUGGCUCCUUCUGUGUUUCUCUGGCACCAAGAAAAAGCCACAGAACUCUGGGUGUGCCUCAUGUGGGUCUCAUCUCUUCCCAGUUUAGGACAAAGUUACCAAAGCGCUCAACUUCCAUGUCUUUUUUUCAACAGACCUCCUCCUCUGGGUCUGAUGAUGGAAUAAAAUGCUCAAGACGAGGGGCUGGAGAGAGGGCACCACAGUUAAGAGCAUUUUGGCCCCUGC
RNAcentral lists this long non-coding RNA (369 nucleotides) under Mus musculus (house mouse). RNAcentral describes it as "long non-coding RNA chr17:29718784-29719153". Lineage: Eukaryota; Metazoa; Chordata; Mammalia; Rodentia; Muridae. The record is from RNAcentral.